CAAGUCGUGGGGCAGCAGCUCUGUAGCAAUACAGAGGCUGGCGACCGGCAAACGGGUGCGGGACACGUACACAACCUUCCUUCGAGUGGGGAAUAGCCCGGGGAAACCCGGAUUAAUACCCCGUAACAUAAUGAAGUGGCAUCACUUUAUUAUUAUAGCUCCGGCGCUUGAAGAUGGGUGUGCGACUGAUUAGGCAGUUGGCGGGGUAACGGCCCACCAAACCUACGAUCAGUAACUGGUGUGAGAGCACGACCAGUCACACGGGCACUGAGACACGGGCCCGACUCCUACGGGAGGCAGCAGUAAGGAAUAUUGGUCAAUGGACGCAAGUCUGAACCAGCCAUGCCGCGUGGAGGAUGAAGGUCCUCUGGAUUGUAAACUUCUUUUAUCUGGGAAGAAAUCCACGAAUUCUUUUGUGGUUGACGGUACCAGAUGAAUAAGCACCGGCUAACUCCGUGCCAGCAGCCGCGGUAAUACGGAGGGUGCAAGCGUUAUCCGGAUUCACUGGGUUUAAAGGGUGCGUAGGUGGGCAGGUAAGUCAGUGGUGAAAUCUCCGGGCUUAACUCGGAAACUGCCAUUGAUACUAUCUGUCUUGAAUACCGUGGAGGUCAGCGGAAUAUGUCAUGUAGCGGUGAAAUGCUUAGAUAUGACAUAGAACACCAAUUGCGAAGGCAGCUGGCUACACGAAUAUUGACACUGAUGCACGAAAGCGUGGGGAUCAAACAGGAUUAGAUACCCUGGUAGUCCACGCCCUAAACGAUGGAUACUCGACAUACGCGAUAUACUGUGUGUGUCUGAGCNAAAGCAUUAAGUAUCCCACCUGGGAAGUACGAUCGCAAGAUUGAAGCUCAAGGAAUUGGCGGGGGUCC
This 869-nucleotide ribosomal RNA is filed under the name uncultured Flavobacteriales bacterium. Its description in RNAcentral is "bacterial SSU rRNA". It matches the Rfam family "Bacterial small subunit ribosomal RNA", at positions 58 to 922 of the family's 1533-position model. The record is from RNAcentral. Lineage: Bacteria; Pseudomonadati; Bacteroidota; Flavobacteriia; Flavobacteriales.